AUUGAACGCUGGCGGCAUGCCUUACACAUGCAAGUCGAACGGUAACAGGUCUUCGGCUGCUGACGUGUGGCGAGCGGGUGAGUAAUACAUCGGAACGUGCCCGAUCGUGGGGGAUAACGAGGCGAGAGCUUUGCUAAUACCGCACACGAUCUACGGAUGAAAGCGGGGGGUAUUCUGACCCCUCGCGGACGGAGCGGCCGAUGGCAGAUUAGGUAGUUGGUGGGAUAAAAGCUUACCAAGCCGACGAUCUGUAGCUGGUCUGAGAGGAUGAUCAGCCACACUGGGACUGAGACACGGCCCAGACUCCUACGGGAGGCAGCAGUGGGGAAUUUUGGACAAUGGGCGAAAGCCUGAUCCAGCCAUGCCGCGUGCAGGAUGAAGGCCUUCGGGUUGUAAACUGCUUUUGUACGGAACGAAAAGCCUUUUUCUAAUAAAGAGGGGUCAUGACGGUACCGUAAGAAUAAGCACCGGCUAACUACGUG
This 482-nucleotide ribosomal RNA is filed under the name uncultured bacterium. RNAcentral's name for it is "partial 16S ribosomal RNA". It matches the Rfam family "Bacterial small subunit ribosomal RNA", at positions 30 to 507 of the family's 1533-position model. The record is from RNAcentral.